Molecule: small RNA, 76 nt
Filed under: uncultured Parvimonas sp.
Lineage: Bacteria; Bacillati; Bacillota; Tissierellia; Tissierellales; Peptoniphilaceae
Description: dfrA-dnaX RNA
Rfam family: dfrA-dnaX RNA
Source: RNAcentral
AUGCCUGUUGAUAAAGCUAUAUACAUUUCAUCAUAACUACCUUAAAAAAUUUAUUUAAAAGGAGUUAUGAUUUAAU